This 253-nucleotide long non-coding RNA is filed under the name Medicago truncatula (barrel medic). RNAcentral's name for it is "long non-coding RNA (MTRU_LNC002564)". The record is from RNAcentral. Lineage: Eukaryota; Viridiplantae; Streptophyta; Magnoliopsida; Fabales; Fabaceae.
ACACAGGAAAAAAACGUUGGCCUUUUAUACCCUCCAAAAGCUGAAAAUUUCAUACCCUGCGCACCACGUCUUAUUGUAGGAUCAACUAACAUAUCAUCAUCAGAUCUUGCCCUCAGCAAACACGCCUCUUUUCUCUUUCUUGUAUGAAUUGCUCUGUCCGUGCUCCUCGAGAAGCCAAUUUGUUCGUAUCAUGAUAGGUUUGCCCAAGCAAUUUAUCUUUUAGUUCUGUGUGCAUGUUGAUAACCGUUGAUGC